CAGUAGCCGCGGUAAAACGAACCGUGCGAGCGUUAUUCGGAAUCACUGGGCUUAAAGCGCGUGUAGGCGGGAGGGCACGUCCGUCGCUGAAAUCCCCCGGCUCAACCGGGGAACGGGCGCGGAUACGACUCUUCUGGAGGAACGUAGGGGGACCUGGAACUUCCGGUGGAGCGGUGAAAUGCGUUGAGAUCGGAAGGAACGCCCGUGGCGAAAGCGAGGUCCUGGACGUUUACUGACGCUGAGACGCGAAAGCCAGGGGAGCGAACGGGAUUAGAUACCCCAGUAGUCCCUGUCUCUUAUA
RNAcentral lists this ribosomal RNA (301 nucleotides) under uncultured bacterium. Its description in RNAcentral is "partial 16S ribosomal RNA". It matches the Rfam family "Bacterial small subunit ribosomal RNA", at positions 509 to 807 of the family's 1533-position model. The record is from RNAcentral.